UACGUAGGUGACAAGCGUUGUCCGGAUUUACUGGGCGUAAAGAGCGCGCAGGCGGUCGAUCAAGUCGGGUGUGAAAGCCCCCGGCUCAACUGGGGAGGGUCAUUCGAUACUGAUCGACUCGAAGGCAGGAGAGGGUAGUGGAAUUCCCGGUGUAGUGGUGAAAUGCGUAGAUAUCGGGAGGAACACCAGUGGCGAAGGCGACUACCUGGCCUGUUCUUGACGCUGAGGCGCGAAAGCGAGGGGAGCAAACGGG
RNAcentral lists this ribosomal RNA (253 nucleotides) under uncultured bacterium. Its description in RNAcentral is "partial 16S ribosomal RNA". It matches the Rfam family "Bacterial small subunit ribosomal RNA", at positions 524 to 776 of the family's 1533-position model. The record is from RNAcentral.